This is a long non-coding RNA of Rosa rugosa (rugosa rose), 2424 nucleotides long. RefSeq lists it as uncharacterized. The record is from RefSeq and is a predicted model, not a curated record. The transcript is spliced from 2 exons. Lineage: Eukaryota; Viridiplantae; Streptophyta; Magnoliopsida; Rosales; Rosaceae.
UAAGUCCUCCAUACCUUCCGUAUUCAAAACACAUGUGUGUGUUGCAUGUCCUCCAUACAAUGUGCGUCUUGUUCAUAUAUUACCCAUUUAGGUUCUUUAUUAUAUGACAUAUCUCCUAGGAAAUAUUUCUUUUCAGGUCUUUUCAUUUUGCUUUAUCCAUGUUUGUCGUGAUUGGUCUCUUAAUCUAUACUUUCUUUUUAACUAGGCUUCCUUUGGUUAAAGGUACUUGUGGUUUUGGGUGCUUAUAGAUUUGUAAUGGUCUCUGUUAUGUAUAUGUCACUACCACCUAAACAUCCUCCAGGUCACUACUAUAUUAUACAGCCUUUUACCUUAAGGUUGAUGAUGAUUCUUUAGUGAUAUUUUGUUUGAUACAAGUUUAUGGUUUCUAAAUCUUUUACUCGACAGCAAAGAGCCAAAGAUAUAUAUGAACUUAUGCUUGUUUCUUUGGGAGCUUUAUAAUUUAGAGAUACACCAGAGACAAAAGGUCUUGCAAGCCUUAUUAUGUUCUGUACUGGUUGGUAUGAUUGGGAUCAUUGGAUUUCUGCAUAAGGUAAUGCUGAACACUUUUGCUUUAAUACAUACCCUAUAAAUUUUAUUUGGUAACUAAUUCUCUCUUGUUCAGUGGGAUGCGGCAUACAAAACUUUAGCACUCCUAAUUACUAGCUUCUGUAAUAUAGGAUCACUUUCCAGUUCCGUAAAUUAGCUAGUUUGAUAGUUCAGCUUUAGGUACAUAGGACAAGUAGCAGUGGUGUGUGCAUCUUUGUGAUUUACAAGGAUCUUUAGCUCUGCUGCUUCUGUUUCCAUAUUUUAUUAUGUGUUUUCUUCUUUUGGCAAAUAGUUCAAGUCAUUCUCAAUUUGUGAGAGAAUCACCAUCUUCGGUACGUGAUUGCAUAUUCUGCUUGUUUAAAUGAUUGCAUAUUCUGCUUGUUUAAAUGAUUGCAUAUUUGUUUUGUCCUUUUGGGAUUUUGAUUUUGCCGAGUGAAUAAUAUGGUUGCAAGUAAACCUAGCUUCUGAUCGAUUCUGUAUUUUCCCUACUUUUUAAAGUUUGAUUUGUAUAAUUAUAUCACCUCUCUGCAUAUCUAAUUGAUUAGUCUUCUUUUGGUCGACUAUUGUGCAUAUAUUUGUGCAUGUUUAAUAAUUAAAGGCUGCAAGAGUUUUCAAUCACAAAGUCAGUCCAUUUUUUUUUGUACUUGAGGUUCAUCAAUUGAUAAGUCUUCUUUUAAUCUUCCCUCUGUUGGCACAACACAUCGGCAAUUAAUUGCACCAUUUUCAUAAUACUGAUUCCAAAUGGAUAUAUUGAACAUGGAUGGAAUUCUGGGCGUCUUAUUCUCUCAACUCUUUCUUCUUCCAAUCCUGUUGAGCUACUAUAACUGAUAAUAGCUUCAAUGUCUUUGAUAGCUCCAAAUCUAUUGUUUUAAGCUGUAGUUGACCUCCGGCUAUGCUAGAUUACUUUAUAUCUGAGCAGAAGGAAGCAUAUGAUGGCCUAUGAGUUCAUUUUAUCUUAUGCAUCAGAUAAGUAUAUAUACUACGUUUUAUCGAGUAUAAAUUAACAUCCUCUCAAGUAUGGCAACCAUAAAAUAAAGGCUGCUAUAUAACUCUUCCCCAUCUGUUUGUUCUCAGUGCAAAGCUUCUAGCUUUCAUAUUCUCUCCCAUUGUCUCCUUCAUAUUCUGUCUCACUUAACACAUUUAUUUUUUCUCUUUCUUUUUCCUCUUGGCUCUGCCAUUGUAAACCACUGCCAGCAGUACCCAUCUUAUCCCAGAGCCUAAAUGAUAAUACGUCUCCAUCUUUGAAAGUUAUUUCCUUGUGUGUUCAGCCUUGUUUUGCAAAUUAUGCCUACUUCAAAAGCUUUGAUUAUUUCCUUGGCAGUUGAGAAUUCUUUGUAAGGAGGUAUGCCAGCUGCUUCCCUAGAAGUUAAAUUAGCUGUACAUAUUGAUAGAUCAAGCAUGCUUCUUGACUUCAGAAAGAUAAAGAUCCGACAAUAAGAUUCUAUUAGAAACAAGGCUUAUUUAUAAAUUUGGGAAGCAAUAAGCUAGAUAUUCUUCCAGCAGUUUGAUAUUAUACUUGUGAUUGACGAUCUUCUCGUAGAAGCAUGUCUUCAUAGUAAUAAUACUUGGUGAAGCUUUUCAGGUCUCAUACUUAUUAUACUCUAUUAUGUUUCCUGUUUUGCUAUUUUGACAGGAUAAAACUUCAGGCUUCCCAGGGGCUUCAUCUGCUCAGCCUGCUUCUACUAAUGGAGAUUCUGAAACACAUGCACCUUGAUCCCUACUACUAGCUACUACUUGUAAGGUCCUGGAAGAAACUUUUAUUUGUUUUUAGUUUGGUAUUGCUCUCGUACUAUUUCUAUUGUUAUGGAUGAUGCUAUUUUUCCUAUGUAUUAAGAUUAUGCAGUUUGAAUUCAAUAAAUUACUCAAAUCUUCACUAUG